GAGGGUAUAGCUCAGUGUCAGAGUGUGUGCUUAGCAUGCAUGAGGUGCUGGGUUCCAUCCCUAGUAGUGUUA
RNAcentral lists this transfer RNA (72 nucleotides) under Camelus bactrianus (Bactrian camel). It matches the Rfam family "tRNA". Rfam says of the family: Transfer RNA (tRNA) molecules are approximately 80 nucleotides in length. Their secondary structure includes four short double-helical elements and three loops (D, anti-codon, and T loops). Further hydrogen bonds mediate the characteristic L-shaped molecular structure. tRNAs have two regions of fundamental functional importance: the anti-codon, which is responsible for specific mRNA codon recognition, and the 3' end, to which the tRNAs corresponding amino acid is attached (by aminoacyl-tRNA synthetases). tRNAs cope with the degeneracy of the genetic code in two manners: having more than one tRNA (with a specific anti-codon) for a particular amino acid; and 'wobble' base-pairing, i.e. permitting non-standard base-pairing at the 3rd anti-codon position. RNAcentral also lists the same sequence under 2 other names. The record is from Rfam by way of RNAcentral. Lineage: Eukaryota; Metazoa; Chordata; Mammalia; Artiodactyla; Camelidae.